UGACAGGUGGUGCAUGGUUGUCGUCAGCUCGUGUCGUGAGAUGUUGGGUUAAGUCCCGCAACGAGCGCAACCCUUGUCUUUAGUUGCCAUCAUUAAGUUGGGCACUCUAGAGAGACUGCCAGGGAUAACCUGGAGGAAGGUGGGGAUGACGUCAAAUCAUCAUGCCCCUUAUGCUUAGGGCUACACACGUGCUACAAUGGGUAGUACAGAGGGUUGCCAAGCCGUAAGGUGGAGCUAAUCCCUUAAAGCUACUCUCAGUUCGGAUUGUAGGCUGAAACUCGCCUACAUGAAGCUGGAGUUACUAGUAAUCGCAGAUCAGAAUGCUGCGGUGAAUGCGUUCCCGGGUCUUGUACACACCGCCCGUCACACCACGGGAGUUGGAGACGCCCGAAGCCGAUUAUCUAACCUUUUGGAAGAAGUCGUCGAAGG
RNAcentral lists this ribosomal RNA (429 nucleotides) under Clostridioides difficile. RNAcentral's name for it is "bacterial SSU rRNA". It matches the Rfam family "Bacterial small subunit ribosomal RNA", at positions 1032 to 1462 of the family's 1533-position model. Lineage: Bacteria; Bacillati; Bacillota; Clostridia; Peptostreptococcales; Peptostreptococcaceae. The record is from RNAcentral.